RNAcentral lists this ribosomal RNA (777 nucleotides) under uncultured Pelagibacteraceae bacterium. Its description in RNAcentral is "bacterial SSU rRNA". It matches the Rfam family "Bacterial small subunit ribosomal RNA", at positions 33 to 858 of the family's 1533-position model. Lineage: Bacteria; Pseudomonadati; Pseudomonadota; Alphaproteobacteria; Candidatus Pelagibacterales; Candidatus Pelagibacteraceae. The record is from RNAcentral.
ACGCUGGCGGCACGCCUAACACAUGCAAGUCGAACGAAGUAGCAAUACUUAGUGGCAGACGGGUGAGUAACAUGUAGGUAUCUACCCUAUGGCCUGGAAUAACACGAGGAAACUUGUGCUAAUACCGGAUAAGUCUUCACGGAGAAAGCUUUAUGCACCAUUGGAUGAGCCUGCACUUGAUUAGUUUGUUGGUAGGGUAAUGGCCUACCAAGACUUUGAUCAAUAGCUGAUUUGAGAGGAUGAUCAGCCACAUUGGGACUGAGACACGGCCCAAACUCCUACGGGAGGCAGCAGUGGGGAAUCUUGCACAAUGGAGGAAACUCUGAUGCAGCGAUGCCGCGUGAGUGAAGAAGGCCUUUGGGUUGUAAAGCUCUUUCGUCGGGGAAGAAAAUGACUGUACCCGAAUAAGAAGGUCCGGCUAACUUCGUGCCAGCAGCCGCGGUAAUACGAAGGGACCUAGCGUAGUUCGGAAUUACUGGGCUUAAAGAGUUCGUAGGUGGUUGAAAAAGUUGGUGGUGAAAUCCCAGAGCUUAACUCUGGAACUGCCAUCAAAACUUUUCAGCUAGAGUUUGAUAGAGGAAAGCAGAAUUUCUAGUGUAGAGGUGAAAUUCGUAGAUAUUAGAAAGAAUACCAAUUGCGAAGGCAGCUUUCUGGAUCAUUACUGACACUGAGGAACGAAAGCAUGGGUAGCGAAGAGGAUUAGAUACCCUCGUAGUCCAUGCCGUAAACGAUGUGUGUUAGACGUUGGAAAUUUAUUUUCAGUGUCGCAGCGAAAGC